Stachybotrys elegans is the source of this 94-nucleotide non-coding RNA. Lineage: Eukaryota; Fungi; Ascomycota; Sordariomycetes; Hypocreales; Stachybotryaceae. The record is from the annotation of a GenBank genome assembly.
GGUCUCGUAGCGGAGUGGUUACCGUUGUGUUCUUAUACUUUCAUUAUGAUUGGAAGCUAUGCAUAGGUCGUGAGUUCGAACCUCACCGAGACCA